GAUGAACGCUGGCGGCGUGCCUAAUACAUGCAAGUCGAGCGAACGGACGAGAAGCUUGCUUCUCUGAUGUUAGCGGCGGACGGGUGAGUACCACGUGGAUAACCUACCUAUAAGACUGGGAUAACUUCGGGAAACCGGAGCUAAUACCGGAUAAUAUUUUGAACCGCAUGGUUCAAAAGUGAAAGACGGUCUUGCUGUCACUUAUAGAUGGAUCCGCGCUGCAUUAGCUAGUUGGUAAGGUAACGGCUUACCAAGGCAACGAUGCAUAGCCGACCUGAGAGGGUGAUCGGCCACACUGGAACUGAGACACGGUCCAGACUCCUACGGGAGGCAGCAGUAGGGAAUCUUCCGCAAUGGGCGAAAGCCUGACGGAGCAACGCCGCGUGAGUGAUGAAGGUCUUCGGAUCGUAAAACUCUGUUAUUAGGGAAGAACAUAUGUGUAAGUAACUGUGCACAUCUUGACGUUACCUAAUCAGAAAGCCACGGCUAACUACGUG
Molecule: ribosomal RNA, 497 nt
Filed under: uncultured bacterium
Lineage: Bacteria
Description: partial 16S ribosomal RNA
Rfam family: Bacterial small subunit ribosomal RNA
Source: RNAcentral